GAUAGAUUGAGCUCGCAUGCUGAAAAGCAGAUUAGGCCAAGGCCAAGCCAUAUUUGCGUGUUUUUACUGUGUAGCAAAGCGUUAUUAGGCUUUUAACCAUCUUAAAAGAUCAACCGUUUUUGGGUGUGUUCUAUUGAGGACAACGCAAUUUACUGAUUUGCCGGCUUAUUUAGGCGGCCAAAUUGAUUUGGCACAAAUAUCACAAGUCAGUUAUUUUGGCAGGACAUUUUACCAUGUCAGGAAGAAGAGGCAUACAGUGUGAUGCGAUACCAAUGACCGAAAAGGAAAAAUCUGAAGCAUUAAAAAGAAAGCCUCAGCUGCAACAGCAGCAACAGCAACAGGCUCCACAUGCACAGAAUCAACAAAAUCAAAAUCCUUUGGUACAGCAAUCACAGCAUGAUGGAAGUAAUGGAAACCAACAGAAUCAAGGAAACUCGUCGUCCAACGCUGCUGGCAAUCAUGAAUGAAUUUAAUAUUUCACUUUAUUUUUCUUUACACAGGGAAUGUCAGGGAAGGCUUACCGAACGACGCAGUGCAUUUAUUAGGGUUCUUUGUACGAAAUACAAAAGCGCAAUUUGAAUUUUCUAAAAAAACAACACAGAUAUAAAAAGAUAAUUUUGAGAACUUCUAUGUAUUUUAAAUCUUGAAAAAUAAUCAUUUUUUUUUUAAAUUUGAAUGCAUAUUGCGUAAAAAUGGUUUAAAAAAAAUAUACUGUAUUUUUUUCCUUCAAUCCCAUCAUAAACUUCUUCAAUUGAAUAAAUUAUAAAUUACAAACACAAAAAUUAUGUAUUAUAAAUUGUGACAAAAAAAAGAAAUUAUAUAAGUAUCCUUUAACAUCAAAUAAAUAUUCAUUGAUAUGAUUUCCAUAAUAACAAUCUAUUUCCAUCUCUAACAAUAAGAAUAUAUUUUUAGCAAAAUAUUGCAAGAAUUAAUUGUGGGCGUUCAUAGAGUAGUUUUACGGUUCAGCGGCAGAUCGAGUUUGUGUCCACUUUCGAUUUUAGCCCAACCUUGCCGGCGCCUCUGUUUUUUAUCACUUUCGCAAUGCGCCUGAACUCCGUCAACUGUCUUUGUUUUGUUUGCGAUACAAGUCCCAAGUUAUUUUCACAAAAGUUGGCUUUUCUACACUUUAAUUAACUUUAAGUUCACUCGUACUGCAAGGAGGUACUCCCUCCCGUAUGUCAAAUUUGAUUAUUCUCUUGAGCACUGACAACAUUAGGCGUUCAGUUUUACUGCUGAAAUUGCAACAAUGGAGCCGCAGAAUAUCAAAGACAUUUAUUCCAUGAUACUCCCAGAGGAUCGCAUUCUCAACUUGAAAUUUGAAUUGCAUCAUUGCCUUACUUUCCCAUGCGACUUUGAAACACGUUUUCCUGGUGCCAAGCCUUUAGACCUAGCCAACCUUGGGUUCUACUUUGAAGAUGAACUUCUUCACUGUCAAUUUUGUGGUCACACUGCAAACGUGGAAAAUUACCUAGAGUCACAUGAUCACAAAGUUUACUGUGCACAACUUCAAGAGUCGGGAGAAAAUAUUUGUUUUUCUAAAAUUUUAAACUACAGUUUUGAGGCGCAUCGUCUUUAUUCCUUUCUAAAUUCGAAUUGGGUGAAAGCAAAUCCCAAAGUUUGCUGCGUUGACUUAGCCGCGGAUGGUUUCUAUUUUUUGAAUGAAGGAAAAGACAAGACGAGAUGUUUCUACUGCAAACUUAAAAUUGAGGAUUGGCUGGAAUCUGAAACGGGCAAAAUAGUUCACACCAACUUUAACAAACACUGCCCAUUUUUUCAAAAUCCGUCAAACGUGCUGAACAUGAAAAUCGGUACGGAAUGUCAAAAAACCUAUAGUGACUCAAUUGGAAAACCUAAUAAUGGUGCCAAAGAUAUGUCUGAUGAGGAAAUGGAGGAAGCUAUGAAUGCCCAAGGUCCGCAUAAUCCUGCAGCGCCAAAUGGAAAUAACCCUCCAGCAGCUGAGCCUGGAAAUGAAGAUCAACAAGGUGCUCAAGAAAACCCAAUCAAUGACGGGCAGCAAGCAGAAAAUUAGAAAUUCUAAACAUUGCUUUUUUAGGAUUAUUUACCCACAAAUUAAUUAUCCUAUGCGUGUGUUUAAAGCGUAAUAUUAAUAGGCUGAAUAAAAUACACAAAAUAUUUAUAUGAAUUAUAACAAAUUGCUACUUGUCUGGAAGCAAUAUUCCAAUUAUCUGUACCAAAUCUGUAUGAACCUCAAUAUAAUGUGAAUCUUGUCUGGUAUAUUUACAGCAUGAGGCAAUACAUACUUUUUAAUUUUAUGCCAUAGAAAAUUUAUAUGAAAACACUUUUUUGCGCAUAUAUAUUAAUUUCUUUUUAUGUAAUUGAAAACUAUGCAUGUAUUGAUUUUUGCGUCAUAGAACAGAACAAUUAUUUUAAAAUCUUGAUAAUAAAAAUUUUCCCUUGCUAAUA
This is a long non-coding RNA of Neocloeon triangulifer, 2424 nucleotides long. RefSeq lists it as uncharacterized. The record is from RefSeq and is a predicted model, not a curated record. The transcript has 3 exons. Lineage: Eukaryota; Metazoa; Arthropoda; Insecta; Ephemeroptera; Baetidae.